AUUGAACGCUGGCGGCAGGCCUAACACAUGCAAGUCGAACGGUAACAGGAAGAAGCUUGCUUCUUUGCUGACGAGUGGCGGACGGGUGAGUAAUGUCUGGGAAACUGCCUGAUGGAGGGGGAUAACUACUGGAAACGGUAGCUAAUACCGCAUAACGUCGCAAGACCAAAGAGGGGGACCUUCGGGCCUCUUGCCAUCGGAUGUGCCCAGAUGGGAUUAGCUAGUAGGUGGGGUAACGGCUCACCUAGGCGACGAUCCCUAGCUGGUCUGAGAGGAUGACCAGCCACACUGGAACUGAGACACGGUCCAGACUCCUACGGGAGGCAGCAGUGGCGAAUAUUGCACAAUGGGCGCAAGCCUGAUGCAGCCAUGCCGCGUGUAUGAAGAAGGCCUUCGGGUUGUAAAGUACUUUCAGCGGGGAGGAAGGGAGUAAAGUUAAUACCUUUGCUCAUUGACGUUACCCGCAGAAGAAGCACCGGCUAACUCCGUG
RNAcentral lists this ribosomal RNA (490 nucleotides) under uncultured bacterium. RNAcentral describes it as "partial 16S ribosomal RNA". It matches the Rfam family "Bacterial small subunit ribosomal RNA", at positions 30 to 507 of the family's 1533-position model. The record is from RNAcentral.